UACAGAGGUGGCAAGCGUUGUUCGGAAUUACUGGGCGUAAAGGGCGCGUAGGCGGUUCCAUAAGUCCCGCGUGAAAUCCCCCGGCUCAACCGGGGAACUGCGCGGGAAACUGCGGGGCUUGAGUUCGGGAGAGGGAAGCGGAAUUCCGGGUGUAGCGGUGAAAUGCGUAGAUAUCAGGAGGAACACCGAUGGCGAAGGCAGGUCUCUGGGCCAUUACUGACACUGAGAAGCGAAAGCAUGGGGGAGCGAACAGG
RNAcentral lists this ribosomal RNA (254 nucleotides) under uncultured bacterium. RNAcentral describes it as "partial 16S ribosomal RNA". It matches the Rfam family "Bacterial small subunit ribosomal RNA", at positions 524 to 776 of the family's 1533-position model. The record is from RNAcentral.